ACUCCUAGUUCUCUACAUGCCGGGAGUGCCCCAGAGCUCUGACCUGUGCCCCCAGGUUUCUCCUGGGCUCCCAUCCACUGGGCGGCAGGCGGUGCACCACACACUCCUGGGUUUAGAGGAGGGAGGGGCGCGGGCUCAUCAGGUGUAUCCCUGUGUGCAGUCACUUUUCUUUCUCUCAGUUUGCUUCAGCCACAUUUUUCCCUUUGUCCUUACCAUGAAGGCGGUAAGAUCACAGAAGCUCUGUGUGCUGUCCGAGGGCAAUGUCUUUUCACUGUGUGCCCAGGGGAAUCCCGCAGGGUUCUCAGCAUGAUCCCUUUUCCCCCAUAUCUUGGAACUGGAGCAGAGUGAAGAUGUCCUGUCUCCCUUGUUCUGCCCGCCCUCGGAAGGCACCACGGAUGCCCGCCACCCACCGCAUGCAACACCUUGAGUGUCACUGACCCACCUAGUUUCUACUCUCUUCAGUGAAGCUUGAGACAGGUCCUAGAAUUCCUCCUCACUUUUUUCUUUUCUUUUUGGAGACAGAGUCUUGCUCUGCACCCAGGCUGGAGUACAGUGAUGCGAUCUCAGCUCACGGCAACCUCUGCCUCCUGGGUUCAAGCAAUUCUCCUACCUCAGCCUGAGUAGCUGGAACUACAAGUGUUUACCACCACACCCAGCUAAUUUUUGUAUUUUUAGUAGAGACGGGGUUUCUACUAAAGCCAUGUUGGCCUGGCUGGUCUCUAACUUCUGACCUCCAGUGAUCCUCCUGCCUCGGCCUCUCAAAGUGCUGGCAUUACAGGCGUGAGCCACCAUGCCGGGCCUUAGAAUUCAUUUUAUUUGCAGUUCUCUUUGAGGGUGUUUGCCAUCUUUAGGGCUUCAGCAGGUAAAACUCCAAUCAAUCAGCAGCCCCCCUCGCUUUUAUAAAAUAAAAGGUGCAACAGGCCUGCUGAAACAAGGUUCUUUUGCAUGCAGUUGUUUUUGUUUUUCUUGUUUCUUUUUGGCUUACAUUUUUAGCUACAUUCCAGAACCCUGAGGGAAAGUGGUUCCGUGGCUGUGCUCUGUGGCUGGACCUUGGAGCGUAAACGAGCCCCUUCCGUGUGGCCGGAGCACAGGCGGGCCUCUCCCGGCUGCUCCCGCUGCUGUGUGAGGCUGAGCUCUUUGAAGCCGGAGUUUCUGAGUUGGCUCAUUUUUAAGUUUAAGUUUCUGAGUUGGCUCAUUUUUAAGUUUCCUAACUCUGUGGUGACCUCCAUGCUCAUUGCGCCCGAGAGAUGCUAGAGAGAAACCCCUCAUCUCCAUAGAUACGGUCUUGCCACGUUCUGAUGAUGUGCGUUUUGGAGGUGAGGUGCUACUAAGCUCGCACUGAACAGAAAGAGGUUGACUCAGGAGCGAUUUAUGACAGGGCUGGAAGGAAGCCUGCCAAGGCAGUUGCCCAGGGCCUGUGAGGAAGUGCUGAAUGUGGAAAUCCUAUCAUUGUUUAAAAAUGAGCCAACUCAGAAACUCGGGCUUCAGAGAGCUCAGCCUCACACAGCAGGGGAGGCAGCCAGGAGAGGCCCACCUGUGCUCCUGUCGCACGGAAGGGGCUCGCUUACGCUCCAAGAUCCAGCCAUGGAGCACAGCAGGUGGCAGGCCUAGCUCUGACUGCCGCCUGGAAGGCUGGCACUCUGGAUGGCAGCGUGGGGCCAGAGGGUCUGGCAGCAGAGGCCAAGUAAGGGAAAGAAAUCAAAGGGGCAAGGAAUGAGGAUGAAGGCUGCGUUUCCCUAGAUAGCGCCUGACACAUUGCGGACGGGCAGUCCUGUCUGUGGAAUGGAUGCGUGAAUGCAGGAAUGCCUCAUCCAUGCCACCAUUCUCGGUACUGGGGAUCCAUCCAGAACCAACCAAAUAGUCCAACAUUCCUGCCCCCGUGGAACUUCUAUCCUAGAGGCAGGGAAGACAGAUGACAAAUACAGCAGAUGCUCAUGCUGUGUAGUGUCCUAGAAGGGGACAGCGUUCUGACCACAAUCGAGAAUGCUGAGGGGGCUCAGAAAUGCUGGGGCUGCUGGUCGUUGCAGCUGCUUGAGGCUGAGCUCUUUGAAGCCGGAGUUUCUGAGUUUGCUCAGUUUGAAAGUCGUCAGGGCAGGCAGCACUUCGCAUGCCAUAGCUGAGAGAGGCCUUGUCGAGGGGCGAGAAAGUCAGUUGUGUGGAUAAGAGUAUUAGGAAAGAGAAGGCAAGAAAAGAAAGCCUGUGCAAAGGUGGGAGUGAUGGAGAGGGAGAAUGCUGGAAGGCAAGGCCAGAGAGACAGGAAGGGGAUGUCAGUUAAAAUCCUGGCAGGAAGCAGAUGGCCUGCUCACAUUGGAGGAAUCGGGGGGAGUUUACCUAAGGGACUGUUGCAAAGAGUAGGCAGAUGUAGAGACACCCCAAGGAAUAGCACAGUACCCCCUAUCCCAGAUGCCAUUACCACCCCUGGAAUUAAAGAGGCAAGAAAAGAGAAACUAGGCUGGGUACGGUGGCUCAUGCCUGUAAUCCCAGCACUUUGGGAGGCCGAAUCAUCUGCGCUUGAGAGUUUCAAGACCAGCCUGACCAACAUGGAGAAACCCUGUCUCUAUUAAAAAUACAAAACUUGGCCAGGCAUAGUGGCACAUGACUGUAAUCCCAGCUACUCAGGAGGCUGAGAUGGGAGAAUUGCUUGAACCCAGGAGGCAGAGAUUGCAGUGAGAUGAGAUCACUUCAUUGCACUCCAUCCUGGGCAACAAGAGCAAGACUCGUCUCAAAAAGAAAAGAAAAAGAAAAGAGAAGCCACAGGAACCUGGGGAGACAGGAGAGGGCUGCUUCCGGUUGAUUGGCAACUGCUGGCCCAUGGGGACCCCUGCAGGGAGAAGGCUGGGGGAAUGAACACCCAAACUCCAUUCUUCUCCCACACAGGUUCCCUUAUUGUUGGAACCCAAUGCAAAGCCAGAGGACCCGUUGCAGGCUGGCCUCCUGGGUCAGGGACCUGCAGAGAGCAGAGUGGAGAAGUGGGGGGUGGACACGGAGAGGCCAACCAGAGGCGCCUUGCCAGUGCAGGGCACUGGGGCCAGCGAAGGACUUGGGCUUCCCCUCUGAGUGAGACACAAGCCCCUGGGGUGCUGGACAGAGUGACAUCGUCUGACAUCACAAAUAAGUACCAGCUGCCAGUACCAGUACUAGUGACCAGGAGCUGAAGAAGGGAGGUGGGUAGAGAAGGAGGCGUAGGGAAUGAGAGCAGGUGGUUUGUGCAGGCCAGGUGGGGAGGGACAGGUGCUCAGCCCCCAGUACCUCCAGCCCGGGGCAGCUUGGGUCCACCAGGGCUGUCCUCCUCCCCACUGAGAGGAGUGCUCUGGAUCUGAGUUUAGUCUCCACCUGUAAGGUAGUCCUGGGCCCCGCAAAGGACUGCCACGGACAGCAGGUAUGUGGGUGUGGCUGUCCCACGGGAACCUCAUGCAGCCCGAGUUGGACCGUGUGUUGCCCUUUGCUUAUUGCUGUGGGCUCAAUCGUGCCCUCCCAAAAUACGUUGAAAUUCUCUCCCCUAAUACCUCAGAAUGUGAUCUCAUUUGGAAAUAGGGCCAUUGCAGGUGCAGUUAAGAUGAGAUCACCCUGGAGAAGGGUAGACCCUUAAUCCGACAUGACCAGUAUCCUAAUAAGAAGAGGGACGGGGCGCAGAGACAGACGCAAGGCACGCAGGGAGAAGGCCUUGUGCAGUCAGAGGCAGAGACCAGCAUGAUGCCAGGGGCUGGCAGCCACCACCGAAAGAAACCAGAAGAGGCGACGAAGAAUUCUACCCAGAAUUUCACAGAGAACACAGCCCUGCUGACACCUUGAUUUUGGACUUCUGGUCUCUAAAACUGUGAGAGAAUCAGUUUCCACUGAUGAAGGCAUCCAAUUUGAGGGGCUUUGUUCUGGCAGUCCUAGAGUGUUAGUCCAUUUUCAGUAGUUGAUAAAGACAUACCUGAGACUGGGUAAUUCAUAAAGAAAAAGAGGCUUGGCCGGGCAUGGUGGCUCAUGCCUGUAAUCCCAGCACUUUGGGAAGCUGAGGUGGGCAGAUCACGAGGUCAGGAGAUCAAGACCAUUCUGGCCAACAUGGUGAAACCCUGUCUCUACUAAAAAUACAAAAAAAUUAGCUGAGUGUGGUGGCAUACACCUGUAGUCCCAACUACUCAGGAGGCUGAGGCAGGAGAAUUGCUUGAACCCAUGAGGCAGAGACUGUAGCGAGCCGAGAUCAUGCCACUGCACUACAGCCUGGGUGACAGUGUGAGACUCUGUCUCAAAAAAAAAAAGAAAAGAAAAAGAAAAAGGAAAAAGAGGCUUAAUGGACUCAUAGUCCCAUGUGGCUGGGGAGGCCUCACCAUCAUGGCAGAAGGCAAAAGGCAUGUCUUACAUGGUGGCAGAGAAGAGAGAAUGAAUGAACCAAGUGAAAGGGAAAACCCUUUAUAAAACCAUAUGAUCUUGUGAGACUUACUCACUACUGCAAAAACUGUAUGGGGGAACCAGCCUCAUGAUUCAGUUAUUUCCCACCAGGUCACUUGUAUAACAUGUGGGAAUUAUGGGAGCUAUAGUUCAAGAUGAAAUUUGGGUGGGGCCACAGCCAAACCCUAUCACCUAGGAAACUGACACAUUCUCUCAGUUCAGAUGCCCGAUGAGAGGCUCUCAGGCUGCUUGGCUGACGUCUGGCUAUAUUGUGCUGACUUCCCAACUUGGGUUAUUUUCCUGGGUGCCUGUGAUAAUUUCACAGCCAGACUGACCAGGAAGAAGUGGCCACUUGCUUGGCAAACCCUAGCCCUCCCCUACUGUUUGGGGUCCUGGGUGGAUGGAGGGCGACAGCUGCCAAUAUCUGCGUGGCCAGGCACUGACCACAGAAUGAAGGUGCAGUAAUGGUCCAAGAAGCUGCGAGGCCUCCGGUGGUGGCGGGGGGGGAGGCUGCAGAAGACACUGAGUCCAGCAUAGAGCUGGCAUUCAAGAAAUCCUUCAUGAGUGACCUUUUCUGGACUUUUGAGCUGGUGUUGAACAGCGGCCUCCAAAAAGUUACAUCUGCGUUCACAUCCUGGGAAUCUGUGAAUGGGACCUUUAUUGGAAAAAAGGUCCCAUUUGCAGAUGUAAUUAGGUUAAGGAUCUGGAGAUGAAAUUGUCCUGGAUUAACAGGGCGGGCCCUAAACCCAAUGACAAUUGUCCAUAUAAAAAGACAGGAAAGAUGAUACUGACGUCGUGUGAAGAUGGGGGUAGAGAUUGGCGUGAUCUCGCCCCAAGCGAAUGAGGCCAAGGACGGCAUGGCAGCCACUUGGCACUGGCAGAGCCAAGGAAUUCUUCUCCCCUAGAGCCUUAGGAGGGAGCAUAGCCUUGCUGACACCUUGACUUCAGACUUCUGGCCUGCAGAACCAGGAGAGAAUACAUUCCUGUUGGGUAAGCUGCCCAGUUUGUAGCGAUUUGUUAUCGCUACAAACCCAGGUUGCUAGCAGAGGUGGCAACCUUUGCUAAAGGAAAGGCUAGCUCUGAUGAUGAUGGAGAAGCCUCUCGUGUCUGAAGAAAGCCCUGGCGUGGGACUGAGUUGUUGGUGGACUCUGGAGAGCUCUGUUCUAGGGAAGGUCAGAGUGAGUUGGAUGAAGCCAGGGGCCAGCACGGAGCCUUAUUAAGCAUGCGUGGGAGUUUGUGCUCUUGCCUGGCUGGCUCUCGUUUGCUUCUCUUAUUUGUUAUUUGUCAUGAUCCUGGUUCAUGCCCCUGAUGAAAACAUUCUUUAAUGAAGUGUUUCACAUGAAGAGAAAUGGCCUAGUUAUGGGUCCAUCUCAGGGGGACGUUCUCUUGACAAAGACAGUUCCUCAGCUUCCUGGAAUCCCACUGGCAGUGGUGUGGGCUCCGUGGGCCACCAGGAGGAUUGUUUACUUCUGUUUCCUGGACAGCCGGCUUGGCCUGGGUGGCCGAGAGCAGGUUCCUCACCUCUCUGCUGAGUGGCUCCUGCCAGAGACAGCAGGCUGCAGUUCUGAUAAGGUUUGGCUGUGUCCUCACCCAAAUCUCAUCUUGAAUUUUAGCUCCCAUAAUUCCCAUGUGUUGUAAGAGAGACCCAGUGGGAGAUAACUGAAUCAUGGGGCGAUUUCCCCCAUACUGUUCUGGCAAUGAAUAAGUCUCACAAGAUCUGAUGGUUUCAUAAGGGGAAACCCCUUUUGCUGGGCUCUCAUUCUCUCUUGCCUGCUGCCAUAUAAGAUGUGCCUUUCACCUUCCACCAUGAUGGUGAGGCCUCCCCAGCCACGUGGAACUGUGAGUCCAUGAAACCUUUUUUUCUUUAUAAAUCACCCAGUCUUGGGGUGUGUCUUUAUCAGCAGUGUGGAAAUGGACGAAUACACUGCCAUCUCAGGCAUUCAUAACAAGGUGGCUGGCACUAAGGCUGGGCCUUCUGCCCCAUGUUCCCAUCCAGCUGGGCUUGCAGGUCUUGCCAGACUCAGAGCCCAGUGCAGAACCUGAGUUCCUCGCCUCCACCCUUUUGCUCUUUUGGACUGAGGGUUCUUCUGUCCAAAUGAAAACACAAGCAUGGUAUGAAGAGGAGAUGAAGAAGGUGAGGAUGUUGAUUUAAUCUGGAGAGAAGACAGAAGGACCCAUAAAUGCAGCCUCAGGUAUGAGAAAGGUACUCUCUUCCCAUAGCCAAUGAUUGACUAGGGCUGUUCUGGAAGGUUUCUGACCUAGAGGGGGUCAGACUCAAGAGAUACAUUUUAGCUCUGUAUGUAAACACAAACUUGACAAACUAUCAGAAUGCAGUGGUUGUGCAUGGAGUUUCCCCCGCCUCUGUCUGUCUCCGUGGUGACUACUGAAGCCCAGAGCUUCUGUGGGAGGACCAGGUCAUGACACUUCCAUAGACUCUGACGACUGAGCAGUGGAUGGAUGGGGUGAGGGCCACCAGCUGACCUGGGGCCAGCCAGUCCUCUGGCUGACCAGUGCCAACCAGGUGCUCUCUCUUAAGAAUUUGUCUAAGAGACACAGAUUGGUCCAUGGAGGGGCCGGGAGGCAUGCUUGCAGAAGAUGAUGUGAUCAGUGCCCCACGCAUGUCCCCUCCACUCUUACCUCUACAUGCUCAAGGCAGCAUCGUGGCCAUACCUGUGUGGUCUCUAUCAAGUUAGUGACCGUAGAAGCAGCCCUCACCGCGAUAAGCUGAUUUAGCAGGUAAAUGCCUGGCUUCCUCACCCGUUGGUUGAAAUAACUCUCUUUUCCAGAGUUUCCCAGGAGGAUAAGUUUCAGUUGUCCGUGGUGGUAAUUCAUUUGAUAAUGUCCUCUAAUUGACAUCCAUCUUCCCUGUCUCACUUCCCCACUCCUUUACAAAGGGAUUCCUUUCAAAUAAACUAUUUGCCUAAAACCUUUUUUUUUUUUUCAGCGUCUACUCCUGGAACAACUCAAACAAAGACGAGGUUGGAUCUACUAGGUCAUGUAGACUUGAAGCUGGUGACGAUGUUGGGUCAGAUAUUAGUGGGAAGCCAAGCUUAGAGAAAGAUGGAGUGGAGGGAACCUGACUGGGAAGGUCCCCAUGGCCUCUGAGAGACAAGGAGAUAGAAGCCAGAAGUCACCUGCGAGACAAGGGGAAGAACUCUGACUCCCCGCACCACAAUCUCGUCUUCUGCUACAUGGCUUCUGUUCCUUGUAGCCGAAGGAUCUGAGCAACAGUUGACUCUAUAAAACUUACUACCUGCCAGGCACUGUCUUAACCUCUAUGCCAGUAGGGUAGCCAGAUUUAGCAAAUAAAAAUUCAGGAUGCCCAGUUAAACAUAGGACAUAGAUAUACUAAACAAUUAUUUGUUAUCUAAAAUUCAAAUGUAGUGAAUUUAAAUUUAAUCUGGCAAUUCUACAUACUGUCAUAUAAGGCAUGUUCUCUUAUUGUUUUACAGCAGGGGAAGCAGCAAGUGAGUAACUUAUCCAGGUUCCCACAGCUGCUAGAUGGUAGGGCUGGGCUGUGCCCCAGGCAGUCUGACUCUAGAGCUUGCCCUCUGAGCUGCCUCUUCAAUACCUUUACCGGUCCCGUAUCACCCAGAAGUGAGGUGAGUUGUCUCUCAAAGGAGUGAGUUCCCCAUCGCUUAUUUCUUUUUUUGUGGAAAAAGAGAAAAAGAAGGGGAAAAAAAAGAAAAAGAGGGAAAAAGGAAUAUUACUUCAUUCCUAAAAUGGGUUUCAAUAAUGGCCGAUCAAUAUUUUGAGUGUUUAAAGUGGUUAAUGCAUAUUUUAUGUGUUUAAAAUGGAGACCUCUAUUUGUUCUGGCUCUGAGUUCAAAUACUGGAUAUCGUUAUCAAUUUGUUGUCUCGUUGAAUCUCACUAUGUGUCUUACGUAUCUGGGUGUUAAGAUCUCUUAUUGUUACAUUAAUCCUUUUACCCUUGUAUCCUUAUAGCUUUGAAAUCUAUUUUGUCAAAUGUGAAAAUUGCAACUCCUGCUUUUUAUUUAUUUAUUUUUGCUCUCCAUUUGGUUGGUACGUUUUUUUUUUCCAACCCUUUAUUUUGAGUCUAUGUAUAUCUUUGGAUAUACCGUUGGAUUUUGUCUGUAUCUUUUGAUUGGGAGAUUUGGUUGAUUUAACUUUAGGGUUGCUGCCAUUUGAUAUUAACUGGCUAUUUUGUCCUUUUGUUGAUAAAAAUUCUUCUUUAUGUUAAUGCUCUUUACUUUUUGGUGUAUUUUUAGAAAGGAUCAUACUGGUUGUUCCUUUCUGUGUAUAAUGCUUCUUUUAGAAGUUCUUGUAAAGCAGGCCUGGUGGUAAUAAAAUCUCUGAGUACUUGCUUGUUCCUAAAAGAUUUUAUUUUUCCUUCAAAUGUAAAGCUUAAAUUGGCAGGAUAUGAAAUUCUGGGCUGAAAGUUUUGUUCUUUAAGUAUAUCAUCAGCAACCGAACAAGCCCUGAUGGAAAAGGACUCAUCAGUAACGGAACAAGCCCUGAUGGAAAAGGACUGUGUUCCAUUAUCUGAAGUAGGCUUUAAAAGGUGGAUGAUAAGAAACUUCUGGGAGUUAAAGGAACUUGUUCUAACCCAAUGUAAAGAAACGAAGAACUUGGAAAAAAGGUUCGAUGAAAUGUUGAAAAGAAUAGACAAUAUAGAGAGGAAUACAAAUGAACUUAUGGAAUUGAAAAAUACAACACGAGAACUGAGUGAAAUAUGUACAAGCUUAAACAGCCGAAUGGAUCAAGCAGAAGAAAGGGUAUUAGAGGUCGAACACCAACUUAAUGAAACAAAACGACAAGACAAGAAUAGAGAAAAAAGGAUAAAAAGGAAUGAGCAAAGUCUCCAAGAAAUAUGGGACUAUGUGAAAAGACCUAAUAUACGCUUGAUUGGUGUACCUGAAUGUGACGGAGAGAAUGAAGUCAAGCUGGAAAAUACUCUCCAGGACAUUAUCCAGGAAAAUUUUCCUAAUUUAGCAAAGCAGGACACUAUUCAACCCCAGGCAAUACAGAGAACACCACAAAGAUAUUCCUCAAGAAGACCAACCCCAAGGCACAUAAUCGUUAGAUUCACCAAGAUCGAAACGAAGGAGAAAAUAUUAAGGGCAGCCAGAGAGAAAGAUCAAGUUACCCAUAAAGGUAAGCCUAUUAGGCUUACAGCAGAUCUCUCAACGGAAACCCUACAAGCUAGAAGAGAGUGGGGGCCAAUAUUCAAUAUACCCAUCGCUUAUUUUUUGUGCCCAAGCAGUUGAGGAGUAUCACGAUUGGUGUUUGAUUCCUACCUGGGAAAUCUUUAAGGCAAGAGAGAGGACUCUUAGUGUUCGCUUGGCAGAGGAGCAAAUGGGACUUGCUGCUCUGCAGGGACCAGAGUUUUUGUGGGCAAAGGAUGUGUGUGUUUUCCUAUGAAUCGGUUGUGAACCAUUGGUGUGCAGCCACUGUCCCUAGUUUGCACAGGACGGCUCCUGUUUAGGUGUGUCGUCUCAUAGUCCCCAUCUGGUUCACCAUUUUACUUCCAAGCAAGGUGUUAUAAUCAUAGUUGCGAAGCAAACUUCCAAGUAAACUAUUAUAAUAAUAGUUGCAUUCAAGCAGACUGGAUGGGGCUGGAGACCACUUGAUACUUCUAGCUCUACACCACGGCCUCAUCUAGUUAUGGGGACUGCAUGGGGACAGUUUGAUCUGUGGUUAAACCCAGAAGCUGCCUAGCAACAUCUCUCUUUGUUGCAUGUCAUAACCAACACCCCUCUUGUCAGGACAGCACACAGGGCACUCCCAAAUGAAGCGCACUAUGACACGAGUGAUUCGGUAAAGCUAACUGCUGCCAGCUGCGCCUGGUGGGAGGAGAAAGUAUUUGAUGUGAUGCUGCUGACUUCAUGGGCAGUUGGCAUGCCAGCCAGUUGUGCCAAUGGCCUGUACCAAUAGCCUGGGCUAUGGCCUGCAAAAUGCUCAAAGCCACCAGCCUGCCAGUUGAUGGUGUCAAUGGGAAGAUGGGAACCUGUAGACCAGACGUUUUAAAAUAUGUGUGGGAAAUUCAGGCUCAACAGUCCUACGGGGGUAGGGGUGGUAUAUAGCGAGAAGGCUGAGUGCUUCUGCUACAGUUGUGCUGUCAUUUACCAUGUGGUGCAGCUCUCCUUAUUCAUUGUAUUGUUUGGUAAUGAUUUUUACAUUUUUCAAUGAACCCUGCAGGCCAUAAUGAGCUCAGAAACAUUUCUGUGCAUAUUUAGUAAAAACUUAAACACCACAUUUCUGUUUCUCAAGCAAGUUGAUGAUAAGCAUGCACCUAGCACAAAGCGCUGAUGUGUGCCAACACACCACAGGGCUGAAGUCACCAACCAUCUGAAAACCAGUUAGUCACAAAUCUGCCACAGAAGUAUCAACAUCUAAGGCAAAAGCGAGUGACUAUUUGUAGGCAGCUGUACCCAAAGAAGAUGAUUUAACAUGUGCAGUUACAGAAAAAUACACUUACACUCCACUUUGUGAACUGUGAUUUUUUUGUUUCUAUCAAAAGAUUGUUCUUUAAAAUUAAUCAUGUUCUUUUUGGGGGGAAAAGUACUUGAAUAAGACGUUACUCCAAAGAAGAUAUACAAAUGGCCAGUAAACACACAAAAAGCAUGGUCAACAUCAUUAAUUAUGAGAGAAAUGCAAAUGAAAACCAUGGUGAGAUGUGCCUGACACCUAUCAGGAUGGCUAUUACCAAACAACAGAAAAUAGGUAGGUGUGGUCGCUCACACCUGUAAUCCCAGCACUUUGGGAGGCUGAGGUGGGCGGAUCACAAGGUCAGGGGUUCAAGACCAGUCUGGCCAACAUAGUGAACCCUGUCUCUACUAAAAAUACAACAAUUAGCUGGGUGUGGUGGCACAUGCCUGUAGUCCCAGCUACUCACGAGGCUGAGGUAGGAGAAUCGCUUAAACCCUGGAGGCAGAGGUUGCAGUGAGCCCAAGCACUCCAGCUUGGGGGACCGAGCAAGACUUCGCCCACCCCCCACAAAAAAAGCAGAAAACAACAAAAAUAGCAAGUGUUGAAGAGGAUAGGGAGAAAGUGAAAGCUUUGCGCAUGAUGAAUGGAAUGUAGAAUGUGACGGCCUGUGUGGAAGACGGUAUGCCAGUUUCUCAAAAAUUUACACCUAAAUUAUAAUGUGAUCCAACAACUUCUCUUCUAGAUAUCAGCCCCAAAGAAUUGAAAUUAGGAACUCAGAUACUGUACAUCCAUGUUCGUAGCAGCAUCAUUCACAACAGACAAAAGUAGAAGCAACCCAACUGUCUGUCAGUGGAUGGAGGGAGAGACAAAAUGUGGCGUGUACCUAGAGUGAGCGUUAUUCAGCCCGGAAAAGGAAGGGAAUUCUAGUACAUGCUACAACAUGGAUUAACCCUGAGGACAUUAGGCUGAGUGAAAAAAGCCAGUAACAAGAGGACACAUAUUGUAUGAUUCCACUUGCAUAAGGUACCUAGAGAGUCAGAUUCAUAGAAACAGAAAGUAGAAUGGUGGUUACCAAGGCCUAGGGUGGGGGGAAAUUCGAGUUAGUGUUUAAUGGGCGUGGAGUUUCAGUUUGGGAAUAUAAGUUCUGGAGGUGAAUAAAGGUGAUGGUUGCAUAACAAUGUGAAUAUACUUAAUGACAACUAUAAUAUACUUAAAAAUGGCGUGGCUCACCCCUGUAAUCCCAGCUCUUUGGGAGGCUGAGGUGGGUGGAUCACGAGGUCAGGAGUUCAAGACCAGCGUGGCCAAGAUGGUGAAACCCCGUUUCUACUAAAAUUACAAAAAUUAGGCAGGUGCGGUGGCACGUGCCUCUAAUCCCAGAUACUUGGGAGGAUGAGGCAGAAGAAUUGCCUGAACCCAGGUGGCAGAGCUUGCAGUGAGCUGAGAUUGCACCACUGUACUCCAGCCUGGGCAACAGAGUGAGACUCAGUCUAAAAAUAAAUGGCUACAAUGGUAAAUUUUAUGGUAUCUGUAUUUUGCCACAAUAAAAAAAAUCAAUCUUGCUCUUUUUAUAUUCCAAGUAUUUUUGUAGCUGAACAAAAAAGUGGUAACUUAAUAUGUGGGUUUCAUUGGCAGAACAACUUUGCAAACAGAUAAAUGAUGCCAAUUUGUCAUUAGUGUUAUCCAAUAUUCCAAGUAUCAGCUCGCUCUCAGAAGGGUUUGAUAUUUUUCAGCCAACUCACAGAAUCAAAAUAAAGCUUUGGGAAGUUCAUUUUGUCAAAGAUGAAACAUCCAAAAUAAAUGUAAACAUUAUUUUAAAUUUAGUUAAAAUGUUCAGCCUUGAAGAUAAGAUUGUUUUUGUGGUCUCAAUACAAAUAUAUAUUUUGCCAAAACACAGCUUCAUGAUAAAAACAAUGUUUUGCUAAAUUUGACUACCGAGUAGCAAUGACCUUGGAAUUGGUUGCAAUGAACAUGUAAUUCUACUUUAUUCAAACCAGCUGUGAUAGUCUACCAACUGAACUCCAAGCUGCAAUUGUUGAAUGUUACAAAUAUUUUUAUACCUACUCAGAGUAAUUAUGAUUAAGCUGAAAUAGUAUUUAAAAAAAAAAAAAACUUUGGCAACGUAGCAUAUAAUUUUUUCUUUGCUGCAAGUCAUUAAACAGAUUUUAGAAAUGUUUGAACUUUUGCAGAAGGACUUUGUAAAUCAGCCCAACAGCCUUCUGAAAGGAACUGGACAUAUUCAAGGCUGAGAAGAUUCAUAGUGCAAUCCACUACUGUGCUUUCGCAAAUUGUAACUUGAAAACGUGCUCAAUAUCGCUCAUUAGAGAAAUGCAAAUCAAAACUACAGUGAAGUAUCAUCUUGCCUCAGUUCAAAUGACUUCUAUCCAAAAGACAGGCAAUAACAAAUGCCGGCAGGGAUGCAGAGAGAAGGGAACCCUCGUAUACUGUUGGUGGUUAUGUAAAUGAGUGCAACCACCAUGGAGAACGGUCUGUAGGUUCCUCAGAAAACUGAAAAUAGAGCUCACUGCAACCUCUGCCUCCUGGCUUCAAGUGAUUCUCCUGCCUAAGCCUCCCGAGUAGCUGGGAUUACAGGCAUGUGCCACCAUGCCUGGCUAAUUGUUGUAUUUUUAGUAGAGAUGGAGUUUCACCAGGUUGGGCAGGCUGGUCUCAAAUUCCUGACCUCAAGUGAUCCAGCCGCCUCAGCCUCCCAAAGUGCUGGGAUUACAGGUGUGAGCCACCAUGCCCAGCCAAAUUUUACUUUCAAAUACAGUUUUUGAACAGAAUGAUUUCAUAGCCCACUAAUGUGAUAAAACCAAUUUGUUUGUCUCUCUAUAAAUACUUCUAUGUAAUUUCAAUUAUGUUUAGGGUCCUGUACUCCCGUGGGAGAGCGAUAAGUCUAUAGAGUUUUAAAUCCUGCCCAAGAAGGCUAUUUGGAGAGGCCAUGGGAUGUCCCAAAGACUGCAUGAAGUCAUUGGGCAGCAGGAAAAAGGGGAAAAUGCAUUGCCCACCUCAAGAUGUUUACAACUUCAGGGCCCCAGUGGGAGCUGUGGAAGAGCACAAAGCAGAUGUUGAGAAAGGUUGUGAAAUGUCCAUCAGACUCAGAGAGCUUAGAGCCAGUUCACUAUAGAACCAAGUAAGUGGCAAAUUUUCUUCCCCUCUCUAGGGGCAGAAAAUUCUUUCAUUCCUCAUGCUCCAGCCCAGAGGGGCCAGAAACCAGAAACAGAAGUGAGCAAACUAAGGAGGAAAAAAGAGAGAAAGAAGGACACUGUCUGCUGUCCCCAAGGGUGGUGGCCUUCCUGCUGGUGGCCAUAGCAAGAGCAGGGGCAGGAGGCUCAUCUGUGAGUCAAGACUUAAGUGUGGAUUGGACUGGAGGUUUGAUUUUCUGAAUGGAGACCAUGUUUGCAAAGAACGUUACCUUAAGGCUGGGCGUGGUGGCUCACACCUGUAUCCCAGCACUUUGGGAGGCUGAGGUGGGCGGAUCACCUGACGUCAGGUGUUUGAAACCAGCCUGGCCAAUAUGGCGAAACCUCAUCUCUACUGAAAAUACAAAAAUUAGCCAUGUGUGGUAGUGGCUGCCUGUAAUCGCAGCUACUCGGGAUGCUGAGGCAGGAGAAUGGCUUGAACCUGGGAGGCAGAGGUUGCUGUGAGCCAAGAUCGAGUCACUGUACUUCAGCCUGGGCGACAGAGGGAGGGAGACUCCAUCUCAGAACAAAACAAAACAAACAAACAAACAAAAAAGGAAGUUACCCUAGGACUUUUUAAAACCAAAGAGUAAACCAAAAUGAAAGGGCUAAUGAAAAGGAAUGAAGUACUGAUCCGUGCUACAGCGUGGAUGGACCUUAAUAAUAUUGUCUUGAAUUAAAGAGGCCAGACACAAGGCCACAGAAUGCAUGGGUUCAUUGAUAUGAAAUAUCCGGGAAAGUCAACCCAUAGGGUCAGAAAGCAGACUUGUGGUUGCCAGGGCCUGAGGUACGGGGUAAUGGGGACUGCUGAUGGGUAUGUGGGUUCCUUCCGGGAUGAUGUAAAUGCCCCGGAACCAGACAGACCUGGUGGGUGUACAUCACUGAGAAUGUCCUAACUGUCCCUGAAUUUUACACUUGAAAUGGUCAAUGUUUAAUUUUAUGUCAUGUAAUUUUUCUUUCUUUCCUUUUUUUUUUUUUUGAGACAGAGUCUUGCUCUGUUGCCCAGGCUGGAGGUCAGACACGAUCUCAGCAGCUCGCUGCAACCUCUGCCUCCCGGGUUCAAGCGAUUCUCCUGCCUCAGUCUCCUGAGUAGCUGGGACUACAGGCCCGUCCACCCCACCCAGCUAAUUUUUGCAUUUUUAGUAGAGACAAAGUUUCACCAUAUUGGCCAGGAUGAUCUCGAUCUCUUGACCUCGUGAUCCACCUGCCUCAGUCUCCCAAAGUGCUGGGAUUACAGGCGUGAGAGACACCAUGGGUCUAUGGCAUGUAAAUUUUUUUUCUGAAUUAAAACAAAGAAAAAACCCAAAGGGCUGUCGCAAAUGUUCAUCCAAGAACAGGAGAAGAUGCUCCCUACAGGCAAGUUUAAAGGACAGUGCCAGAUAAAAAGUUUGAAGGAGAGUACUCCAUACAUUCUGCAUCUAAUACACGUUACCGAAGAGAGCCACAUGCAGAAAACCACACAAACUGGACUCUCUGGAGAUUUAAAGAAUUUUCAAGGGCAAAUUUGGACUCUACUGGAAUUUCAUCUAAUAUGUUGACUUUAGAAAAUUAACUCUCUAUCCUCUGAGCAGCAGCGAGGCAUUAGGCAGGCGGUAGCAAGACAGAAACUCCCUGUGUGUCUUGGGUAAGCUAAGUCUCGUUAAUAGGAGAGUUCUAGACUAGGGAGAAGUUCUGCCAAACUGCUGCUGCGGACCCCGGGCCACUUUGGACCCGGAACCAGCCAGCCCUCCUGACAUUCCUCCUGAGGCCCAGCUCUUUGUUUUGUACUGAGUUCUCCUUCCUGUGAAUUCUGGCCAUAAAUCUCCAAAUUCCUAGAGGGGUUCUGUGCCUAGCAACAAAAGUGGCUAGAUGGCAUAGUCUAAGAAGCCCGCUGACUUGGAAGAAAGCCCUUGUCCCAGAAGAGAAAUGAUUGGCAGCUGGCAGGCAUCCUGGGUAUCUCCGCUGGCUGUUGUAUGUCCAAGAGAAGAAAUGAUAUGCAGACUGUCUUAAAAACUGGCAGGGAGAUGCUAAGCUUUUUUUUUUUUUUCUGAGACAAAGUCAAACUCUGUCGCCCUGGCUGGAGUGCAGUGGCGUGAUCGAGGCUCACUGCAACCUCCGCCUCCCGGGUUCGAGCGAUUCACCUGCCUCAGCCUCCUGAGUAGCUGAGACUACAGGCACCCGACACUAUGCCUGGCUAACUUUUGUAUUUUUAGUAGAGACAGGGUUUCACCAUUUUGGCCAGGAUGGUCUCAAUCUCCUGGGAUUACAGGCGUGAGCCACCACGCCUGGCCUGAUGCUAAGUUUUAAACUUAUAAAUGUGCAUAGGAAAGGAUUAAACCAGAGAAGUAGGGAAAUAAUUAGGAUCCAAGCUCCACUACUAACUCAGGGGAAGAAAUCACCUCUUCAUGCCUCAGUUUUCUCUUCUGCAAAAUGGGAAUCCUUUUGAUUUCACCACAUGGUUAGUGAUGUAUCAUGUAUAAAAAGUAAAAAAUGAUAUAUUUUGUAUCAUGUAUAAAAUGAUACACCUACAAUAUGUUACACUUCGAAAAGUACAUAGUGUAAUAUAAAAUGCAAGAGUUUCACCCAGGUAGAUUUAUAUAGGAACUUAUUCAGAAAUACACCUACUAUGGCCAGGUGCAGUGGCUCAUGCCUGUAAUCCCAGCACUUUGGGAGGUUGAAGCAGGUGGAUCACCUGAGGUCAGGAGUUCAGGAUCAGCCUGGCCAACGUGGUGAAACCCUCUCUCUACUAAAAAUACAAAAUUAGCUGGGUGUGAUGGAUACAUACCUGUAAUCCCAGCUACUUGGGUGAGGCAGAAAAAUUGCUUGAACCCAGGAGGCGGUGGUUCCAGUAAACUGAGAUUAUACCACUGCACUCCAACCUGGGUGACAGAGUACGACUCCAUGUCAAAAAGAAAAAGGAAAAAAGGAAAGAAACAUGCCUGCCUGGUGGCAAGACAGGGCUCUCAACAUUUUGGGGGAAGGCAUCAGCGGAUGGCUCUAUAGUCAGUCAGGCUUGACUAAGUCACACGGGACCUGCAGAUGUGGCUGGCUGCAUACAGAUCCCCUGUUCUGAAUUUGUCAAGACCAAAUUAGCUAGGAUGGUAAGCCUAAAUGAGAAAAACUAAUCAUCAGCCCCUUAUUAUGUUUGCUUUUGCUUUUUAGGAUUAAUAGACACUAGGAUUACAAAUAACACCACGUAUGCAAUUUUUAAUUUGGGUAUUAAUUAGGGCAAAUAACAAAUUUGGGAAUUUCUUCUUUCUACCAUACUCAGAAGGUGAAGGAUUUCUUUUUUCUUUCUUUUUUUUUUCUUUGAGACCAAGUUUAGCUCUUGUUGCCCAGGCUGGAGUGCAAUGGCAUGAUCUCGGCUCACUGCAACCACUGCCUCCUGGGUUCAAACAAUUCUCCUACCUCAGACUCCUGAGUAGCUGAGAUUACAGGUUGCAGGCAGGCUCUUGGAGAUCACCACAGACUUUUCCUGGAGUUGGAAGAUGGAUUGUCAAAACCUGCAAUACACAUACCUACGGUGCUCCACUGUGUAUUCCAGCGGAGGAUUUCCGUGGAAUUAGCACCGACACAGAGGAGGACGAAACACCAGGAGUGCGCAUGCACAGAGGAAAGGUCGUGUGAGGACCCAGCAAGACGGCAGCCGUCUGCAAGCCAGGAGGAGAGGCCUCCCCAGAAACCAACCUGCUGGCACCUUGAUGAUGGACUUCCAGCUUCCACAACUGUGAGAAAAUACAUUUUUGUUGUUCAAGCCAAACUGUGAUGUUCUGUGAUGGUAGCCUUAGCAAACUAAGAUGCCCGGAUUAGAAAAGCUACAGAUGGAGGAGAACUCAGAGAGAAAGGCCAGGGUGCAUGGAUGGUCGUUUUGGCCAAGAGGAUCCCAUAUAGGCCAGGGCCAUGCUACAUUUUUCUGGAAGCUUACAGGCUUCAAUCUGAUGUGCACGUAAUCCUCUUCUGGCAGAAUGCAAGUUCCUGAUGUUGAAAAUAAAGAGCUUAAGGAAGCCUACUAAAAUAAUUCCAAAGGCUUCCUGAAUAUCAGAUGGCCCUCGCUGAAGAGCAUUUUGAUUUCAAAGUCCCAGACGUGCGCCUAUCAGAUUUCCCUCCAAGUGCGUAUGGUUUUGCCACAGGCAUUGAACUCCACCUCUUCUGUUCUCUUCUCCUUGUCCCGAAUUUGGGUGGUUUUUCUUGGCCAUUUCUGAUGUCUGUAUGUCAGUCUUUCCUUCCCUGUCCUCCAGAUUAGCUGCUUUUCUCUCUUGGAUUUGUCCACAGAUCGCUUAUUUCUGUAAGACCUAGUUAUUGUUCAGAUAGUCUGUGCUGUAGGCAAAUAGAAUCUGGUAAGCAAGGGUCAAUGGAAGGAGGAGGC
Molecule: long non-coding RNA, 18290 nt
Organism: Callithrix jacchus (white-tufted-ear marmoset)
Lineage: Eukaryota; Metazoa; Chordata; Mammalia; Primates; Cebidae
Source: RefSeq, a predicted model, not a curated record